RNAcentral lists this long non-coding RNA (216 nucleotides) under Musa acuminata (dwarf banana). RNAcentral's name for it is "long non-coding RNA (MACU_LNC002007)". Lineage: Eukaryota; Viridiplantae; Streptophyta; Magnoliopsida; Zingiberales; Musaceae. The record is from RNAcentral.
UGGUAUAAUAUGGUACUAUGAUAAUUAUUUCUUAUUAUUUUUGUAUUUUUAUUUUAUUUAUUUCAUACAAACAUUUGAUAGAAAAAUAAAAUUGCAAGCAACCACACUAGGAAGUCCAGUGGUAAAAUUGGCAUUUUCAUAUUAAUGGAAAAUGGAAAGAAUAUUGUUCAUAUUUUGUCAUUUUCCAGUGAAACAAAAUGAAAAUUUUCAAGCAGG